This 553-nucleotide long non-coding RNA is filed under the name Helianthus annuus (common sunflower). Its description in RNAcentral is "sRNA HanXRQr2_Chr06g0244911". Lineage: Eukaryota; Viridiplantae; Streptophyta; Magnoliopsida; Asterales; Asteraceae. The record is from RNAcentral.
GAGGGGGAAACCAGGAGAAAACUCUUCUCCUCAAAACCUAACAAAGAAAUCAUCAAAAUCAAGAGGCUUUAAGGCUGAAUUCUUGGUGCAUGAGUUAGGAAUUUAGGUCUCCUAACUAUAUUUGAUAUCAAGCACGAAGAAAGAAGAAAGCACGAGUCAUUUGAAGUCACAAGCAAUGCAAGAUCACGGCACGAAGAAAGAAGAAAGCACGAGUCAUUUGAAGUCACAAGCAACGCAAGAUCACGGUAAAUAGUCCCUUGGAGCAAAUUCUUGAACCGGAGGAACGAACACACAUCGCGCCAUUUAAUUGCUUCCGCUCGUCAAGUUCUUUAAAGGGUUGGUAGUGUCUUUUGGUUAAUGGAUGUUUUUUUUAUUAUGAUGUAACGGUUACAACUUUUAUGUCUUUUGGAAACGUGUCGUAGAAUUUAGUUCUAAAUGUAGAAUUUAGUUUGAAUGGUGAUUUUUUAAAAGCAGGGAAUCGCUUAUGUUACAAACGGGUCAUGCCCGAUUUUUGUUAAAAUUUGUAUGUUAUUAUUUUUAUAUUCGAAUGUGA